CUUUCGUCCACGAUACUACAUGAAUGUAUGCGCGAACAGUUAACAAUUUAACAAGAAAUUAAUAAGAUUAUUCUUCGAUGAAAUAAAAAUUUAGUCGGCGUUUACACGGAAAAUUUGUCGCGUAUCUCGCGACUAAACUUGAUUUAUUAAUGGCAACGUUCGUUAAAAAAUUCCAAUCGAGGAAUAACCCAGGCCAUAUCUGCUUAGGAAGGGGGAAAAUUGGAAAAGUUUACAACUCGUUGGAAAAGUUACACCUCGAUGAAAUAUACGAGCAAAGGAAAUUUGCAUAACGAAGCACAGGAUUGUCCGGAUGAAAAGAAAACACGGUUAAUAUUCUCGGUGUUUACAUGAUAUUUAUUUUCAUGUUUUAUAGGUAAUCCUUAUAACAUUUCUUACAUAUGGGAAUAUAUAUUCAUGGGCAAGUCAGAGAAAUAAAAAAAGAAGUAAAUCGCCGCCCACUUACGCACUCUUCGAACUCAUCCUACAAAAUAGCUCUCUCUUUCUCUCUCACACACGUUCUAUGUUACUUACAUCGCAUAUAUGCACAUAUAAUAUUUAUGUAUUCCCUAUUACAAGUUAAAUAUUAUACGUAUAUAUAUAUAUAUAAUAUUUCUCCAUCUCUUACAUUCCUGUCGUUUAUUAUUUUUCCACAUUUACUUCGCCUUUUUUUUUUUUUGUAAAUUUUCUCCUUAGUAUACAAACGGGUAAUAUUAAACUUCGCUAUUUAUCGCCGCAAUAUCCUCUUACAAGUUAAUCGUCGAUGAUCGAUUAACAAUAGCAAUCAUCAUCGAGUCUAUUUAUUUCCAUACGCCUUAUGUGCGUGUGUCGUUGUCUCACAUUUUCCUUUGCCUAUCUCUAUCGUCUAAUCUUUUAUAUUACCCUCCCUUUUUCAUCCGUUUUCUUUCUUUUCUUCUUCUUCUUCGAUACACGCGUUCGAAAAACAGACAAGUACAGCUCGAUCGGGUCGUUUCCAGGGAAACGAUCACAUCUUUCGAAGGGAAAACGGAUUCUAUCGAAGAGGAGAGUAAAAAAAAAAGCGAAUCGCAAACAAUUUCGUUAUCUGUAACCGGAAGUCUGUCGAAAAUCUCGGUCCGCCGACGAAGAUGAAGAAGAGCACUUCCGGUUAUUUCAGACUCUAAUUGAAAAUCUUGCUUUCUUCGCGAUAAGCUUGUGGUUUCUUCUUUUCUUCUUUUCACGCGCACUCUUCGUAAUCUGAACAGAUAUCUUAGUCUUAGAAAAGAAUUGAUAUAUUAACUAUAAUAUUAAUUACGAUUUCCGCAAAGGAUGGUCUUAUUUUUCUUAAUAUUUUUUAAAUCCCUUACAAACCAAAUUGGGAAUCAUAAAAAGAAAUUGGCAUAAAUUUUCUUCAAAUCUACGAAAUUGUAUAAUAAUUUUGGGGGAAAAAAGGUUUGAGUAGGCGAUCGUUAGGCUCAAAGUCUGGUUGGAAAUUGCUGAAAAAUAUGCAUCUUUGUAUGAUCGUAUUUUCGUAGGAAACAAAGAAACAUUUAUGAGAAAAGAGUUCGAUUAUCGCAAUUGAGUGCAAACUAUAUUGUGAUUCCCCUUGUUCAAGUAUGUUAAAAAGGAUCUCUGUUCCAGAUUACGACGUAUACACUUACAACCAAAGAUAUUAUUCGAUUAUGCACAGAAUUAUAGUAAAUCGAAUCCCCGUUACGUAAAAGCGGAAAUGAAUCGCGAGAGGUCGAACAUUUAUACUAUACAUCUGCUUGAGCUUCAAAUCGUAAAUUCUCCCAUUUCGAGUCAUUCAUCGUUGAUUCGAGUAUUUUAUACAAUCUGUAAUUUAUUUUUACGCUUCCUUCUUAUAUUCUUCUGUUUUACAUACUAAUUUUGAUACUUCAUUUUUCUUGAUUUCACUUUACUUAAUUAUUAACCGAUUUAUACUUAUAUAUAUUACUACACUAUAUUGGCUGAAUACCAUGAUUGCUCAACCUCCCUUUAUUCGCUUCUUUCUUUUUUCUUCUUCUUGUUAUAUAUAAUCUUUGUUUCUUUUGGCUUUUCUAUUUUUGACAUUGUGACAAUCAAAUUGGGUUUCGUCUUUUUCAAACGAAACUCCACGUUUGUCGAUAUAAUAAAAUACACAAGCUUUAUACGUAAAGAAAUUCAAUUUUAAAACGACCAACCCAUUGGAGUUGCGCUUAGAAUCCAAACAACAUAAAACUAUUUGAUCGAAUCUUCUCUUCGAUCGUAAAAAUGUUCAUUCUCUGAAAAAAUAUACGAAACAACGAGGCGUUGCUAGAUUAAAAAAAUAAUACGACGCGUUUCAUAUAGAAACGUUCGUCAUCAGUGUCGCCGAUUUCAUUACUUGAAAAAUAAAGAAAGAGGAAAACGUCGUUGCUUGACAUCGAAAACUAACGGCUAACUCAACCACGAUCUUCGAAUUUUGCUAUUCUCGUUUUAGUAAAUAAAAAGACCCUUAAUAUUUCGCAUAAAAUUGAAAUGAGAAUUUUAAUAACGAUUCUCUCAUAUUUUCUUUAAACUUAAUCAAUUUUUCCAACGACCGAGAAAUACGAAUCGAAUCGAAAACGUCUUGAAGAGCGUAGUAGAGUUAAAACAGGCUUCCAAUGGGUCGAAUCGAACAUCGAUCUUAAAUCUAGAACGGCACGUUCCACGCAAGAAUCCACGAAACUAAUAAAAUGUUCUCUUAAAAACAAAAAGAAAAAUCCAUUUCUCUGAACAUAUAACGCGAAUGUUCAUUUAUAUCUUUGCUAACGAUAGACAAGAAACGUAGCAUUUUUUAUGGAAACAUUACAUAGAAAGAAAAUCACUUUUUUCUACUAUCAUCAAGCGGACAGAUUAAAUUCCAUCUUCUGCCUUUCCACGCGAUUUUUCACUCGAGUAAUUAUAUUCCUCCCCUUUCCAUUCAAUUUUUCACGAGUAACUCGAUCUUCUCCAUUUCCACGCGAUUUAUCAAUAAAAAUGCGAUUAUCACCCUUCUUACGCAAUUUUUCAUUCAAAUUCGUAAAUCUUUCCCACCUUUUCACGCGAUUUAUCGCUUAAACUUAUUCCCUUUUUCCCCGUAAUUUUUCAAUUCAAUUCCGUCCCAUCUCUUUUCAUACGAUUUCUUCUUUUCACCACAAAGUCGUCGUUGCUUAAACAAAGCAACGUUCGAAGGAGCGACAGAACGGUGAUGUUCACAGUGGAGCAGCGAGCGGAAACGGACACAAGUGCCGUCGCGUUUCCUCGAUCUACGUAUCUUCUCCUCGUCGAGUGAUGCCAGAUCGAGAAAUGCUUCCCUUCAUUUCGUCCCUUCCGCUUAUAUGUGUUCGUCCUCGCACAUCGUGUAAACAUCCGAGAAAAAACGGUUCGCCUGUACUCUCAUCUUCUUUUACGCUUUUUUUAAAUCUUUUUUUCUUUAAUUCUUUUAUUCGUUUUAAACAAUGUAUCUGAGAAGAUCGUGCGUGUGUAUCGUUUGAUUAAUUCGCACGUUUUAAGUCGUACUUAAGGUGGCUAAAUCGCCUGGUACAAAAGAAGUCGAGGGAGAAUAUCUGGCAUCACCGAGGAUCCCACGAAGGAAUGAGAACUAAAUGAUUCGUACACGAUGCUAAUCGUAAGUGGUAAAACGCGUGUUGCUCGUCCCUCGUGUCUAUUUCGAAAUAGUCGAAGAUAGUCUGCUUUAGAUUUCUCGCGAACACUGUUUUGCUCCCACUAACGAUACCAUCUUUUUAGCAAGCGUUUCGAAUUAUCCAUCGUUUCGUUCGUUAAUCUUCCUUUCCAAAUUUCUACGAUAAAUAGUUUUCUAUAGAAUAAUAAUAAUAAUAAUAAUAGAAGUUCUGUUUCAGAGUAUCGAUAAUUCCGAUCGUUAAUUUUCUUGUUCUCUUUUCAUUCCACGUUGAUUCGUUUUAUAGGAAGCUUUACAUCAUCGAUCUUCCAUGGUGAAUCUUAUUUUCCAGCUUUUUCUCUCCUCUUUUUUAAGUAUUAUGGGAUCCUGUUUUUUAAAAAGGAUCUGCAAACAUCCGCAGCGAAUAUUUCUUAUCUUUUUCAUCGGUUCUUCCUCUCGAUUUAUAAGGAAUACAAAUUACCGAUGCCUCUAUCGAAGUCUCAAAGAAAACAACGCACGAUACAACGCAACUAUCGGAGAAUACUUAAUAAAUACGAGAAGCGUGAUUCGAUUGAUAAACUUCUGUGAAAUUGAAAUUGACCGUUGCGUAAACAAUCGCCGAUAUCUCAAUCGUAAAGACAAGAAACUCUUUUUGUCUCAUCUGCAACGUGGAAUUAUUCGAUUUCUGAAACAAGCGGCGUUCCUUUUGUCCAUGGAAUUUUUAUACACACGAUUAUACUUCGCCAAUAAUUACGUGUUCUUGCCUCUGGAAAAAUACAUCAUAAUCCGAUGGCUGGCUGCAUCGCGAAUAUCGAACGAUAGGAACAAGAAAAAUAAGUCUGAUUCGUCGUUUCUUUCGAUUAAUAUAUUUUGGAGCAAAACGUGUCUCGAUUAUCUUUCGUGUUCUUCGAAAAUAUUCGGUUCCUCGGUAGAAUUCCGACACGAGCGAGUGACGCAACACGUCCAUCGAUCUUACUCAAUAAAAUCUGCGCAAUUAUUUAAAACACACAAGGAUCGUGGCGCGAGCGUCUGGGAUUUCGCGAGUUUUUUCCCUGCGAUCGAGGAUGCUUCGUUGAAAUUCGCAGUUCGAGCUUGCGUCAUCGAACGAAUCCAUUGAUUCUAUCGAGAAAGAUUUGUCCUAUCGUCAACUUCUCGAGGACCAUUCCUAUCCGUUAGUUCGAAACGAGCGAAGAACGCUUUCUUUCAAUUUGAUUUACCUCGAUUUUUAUAGCUCCUAUCGAGUUAUUAAAUCUUUUAUAUUCUAUAUUCUUUGUAUUUUUAAGUAAUCUCAGUUCGUCGAGUUAUUGCAACAGCAAAGAAUUACAAUCUCUGUCGUUUCUUCUACUUUUCAACUAAUUUCCAUUUACAAUUUCACGUGUUUGCGUGGUCGCCACAAUUAUCCGCUGUUUCUUCCAUCUUUACCAUAAUCUCGACUUAUAAUCGACAAAAUUAUUCUCUUCUUCGAGACCAUCGCGUUCCAUUGUUUCGUCAAUUUCGAAUAAACGAUCGAUCGAUAACGCGUGAAAAUAUAAUAUACGUAAAUAAAAUAUGACGGUAAAAACACACUGUUCGAGUUAAAUGCAUAAGAGAGGCUCGUUCGAGGAUACCUUGAGCAUCAUCAGUAUGAUAUCGAUCGAACAGAAAAAUCGUCGAGUAGCUACGAGAAGAUUACCGAUUGAACGAGAGAUUGAACAGAUUUCGUACGAGGAUACACAGACAACACGGUAAAUUAGGCUUUCUAUCGCUUUCGUAUGAAAACAGUUUAGGCCGCUGGUGUUCUAUGAUCCUCUAUCUUCGUCGUUUCUUUCUUCGAAAUUGAUCAGAAAUCAACGUUGUAUAUGUUUCGCGAUCAAAUAUUUUCUAUAGAAGGCACAAAGAAAUGCACGUUCAUUUAAUUAUUGCAAACAAUUAUUAGCGAGGAUUUUCUUCUCUUUGAACGAAAUCAAUGAUACAGUAGUCCUCGCGGGGAAGAAUACAAUUCAGACGAGAAAACAGGAACUUCUACUCUAUCGAUUUGAAUUCUUGCAAAAGGAAAUAUUUAUAUAUGUACAUAUCAUUGCAAUAUAUCAAGGAUUUCGCGACAACACGAAAUUCUUUAAGAUUCACGGCUCGAACGCCGUUCGUCAGGCCAUUGAGGAUCGAUCCAAACGAUCGAUCUAUACCUCGAUCGCGAUUCCUCACCGAAAUCCCGGUUUCUUCUACGCGACAUACAUUCAUCCAAGCACACACAUCGUAUUAUCCGUCGGAGUAUAUCGACGGUAGCGUCUUUAUUUUUUUCGCACACGGCUCUCUUACUUAAUCCUACGGAUCACGUAUUUUCUUUUAUCCGCAAAAUUUCACCGCUGUCAUUGGUGAAAUCGUUCUACCGAUCGUGAAUCUAUCGUUACUUCAGCAGAACAGUAUCGAUGGAACUACGUUUCGUUCGAUUUCGUCUUCGUUUUUUUCGUUUUUCGAUUGUCUUCUUUCUAGUCGUCGUUCUUUUCCGAUCAAUCGAUCGACAAAUUGAAACGAUGAAUCGUACAAACGUCGAAACGAUACAAACAGAGGUGGAGCGAGAGAGGAGAAGAAAGGCGAAUUUCUUUAGCAGGAAAGAAUGUAAAAUAUAAAAUACAGGCGAACAAAAGUCACGAAUGGUAAAAUAAUUCGUUGGAGUUUUUAGGGCUCUGUAGGAUAGAGUUAGCGGUUGUAAGUGUCGAUUGAAAUUCGUUUUUCGACUGUAUGUUCUGCGAGGAACAAUUUACUUUAGCGUUUAAAAUAAUCGUAAAACAGAACGUGCACGAUGGUAAGUGUUCAUUGAAAUUUUCUUUCAAUUCGUAUAUCGUAAAAUAAUGUAUCUUAGCUUUAAAAAUUAUUGCAAGAGAAAGAGAGAGAAAUUGAUCGUAAACGUCGAUCUGAUCGUUUUUCCCCACUUUAUUAAAACAGAUAAAGAUAUAACAGGUAUACGAAUAAAGAUAAAAUAAAUUUAAGCAAUUUGGAAAAAUUUGUUCGCAUUAUACGUUUCUGUCUGAAAAAUUAAUAAAACUGGAAUUUUCAUCUUCGACAUUUGCACGUUAAAAUCGUUCACCAUUUCGACUCCUCGAUUCCUCGUUAAUGUCAUUUUAUCCUUUUAAUAUUUAAACGAAAGUUUGAUCGUUCGUCGUUUUUUAAACGCGUCCAUCGACACGACAUUAUUUCGUUCGCAUCCGCGAACCUACGUGUUCUGUUUGCUUUCCUCGAAAUACACAGAGUUCUAAAGGGGCGUUUGGCGUUCUACCGUUUAGUAUCAAAAGAAGUUACGUACAAGAUACAGGGAAACGUGGCCGUGGUGAUGUUUGUUCGCGGUCGAAUUGGUUUUCGAAUCUAGUCGAGAGAGUUCUUAACUCUGUUGGUGGUGCGGAGGAGAGAGAUCCUGCCAUUUUUCUUACACAUAGAACGAAUUAAACGAAAGAUGUUUAAUUAUACGGAUUAACCUGUUAAUAGGGUCAUAGUUUUAGCCAAAAACUACUAUAAUCGCGGAAUUAAGAUUCAACAGGAAUCAAUCAGUUUUAAUUAAAUUGUCUUCAAGUAACUUAGAAAUGCCAAUUAUAUGGUGUAAAUGGAUUUUAAAAGAAUUUGUUUGCGACUCUAAACUUUUUAUAAAUUCUUAUAUGUCUGCAAUGCAUUCAUCCAAAUUAGUUAAACCUUCAAGUUUGCCAUUUUAAAUCUCCUACAAACGCACAAACAUCCGCGAUUAAUUUAUUAAAGUUAGUGGAAAUUUUCCAUCGGAUCGGAUGUUCGUGCGCUUAUGGGAAAUUUAAAGUUACAAGAAUACACGAGAGGUCGCGGAAAUGAUAUUCAACAGGUAUCAAUCAGUUUCAAUUAAAUUGACUUCAAAUAAUUUAGAAAUAUCAAUUAUAUGGUGUAAAUGGAUUUUAAAAGAAUUUGUUUGCGGCUCUAAACUUUCUAUAAAUUCGUAUAUGUCUGCAAUGCAUUCAUCCAAAUUAGUUAAACCUUCAAGUUUGCCAUUUUAAAUCUCCUACAAACGCACAAACAUCUGCGAUUAAUUUAUUAAAGUUAGUGCAAAUUUUCCAUCGGAUACAUCGUCGAUGUUCGUGCGCUUAUGGGAAAUUUAAAGUUACAAGGAUACAGGAGAGGUCGCGUAAUAUGCAGAAGUAUAGAAAAUAUCCAAAAUAUAGUACUUGUUAUAACACUUGAAGUAAAUUCCUGUUUGAAUCCCAUUUCUUUUAAUCAGAUUUACGAAGACACGAUAAUUCAUAGACACCUGCAAUCUUAUCUGGCGUCAGAUAAUACAUAGUAGAUAUCUGGACCGAAAAAAAAAGAGAGAAAGAAAGAAAAGAAUAUACAAUCUAAGAAGACUGACAAGUGGUCGAGUGACUCUUAUUAAUUAGGUUUUCCCGAUUAACAGGUUAAAUAACAAGAUCUUGGGAUCGUAUAAUUAAACGUUAAGCAAAUAUCGAUACUUACUAACAACUAUCCAUAAUUUUUCGAAAAAUUGAUUUCACGAGCAAAUGGUAUUUGAAAGAGAAAGAUUCGUUCUUCGUAAUCGUUCUACCGAUCAUAAUACACACUUGAUUAACAAGUAUCGACGUUUAAAGUCCGCUUUAAUUCGAUAUUUAAUUACAAUAUCGUUGCGAUACUUGUCUAAACGAAGAUUUCAUUGAUCGAAAGAACUGUACAAUUGACUCGCAGACUUUGUUUCGUGUUUAUAUUAAUAUAUAUAUAUUUAUAUAUAUAUAUAUAUAUAUAUUCUUACAGUGUUUCGUUUAGACAGGUGUGCAGCUAGUUUCAAAGUUCGAUUUCACUUCAAUGAGAUUAUUACUGAUUAGAUUAUAAACGAUAAUUCAUGCGAUCGAUCGAUCGGUAUGUUUCUAGACGAUUUUUCUACGAAGCUACUUCUAGUGUUCUAAUUACUUAGCUCGCGAGACUACUACACGCGGUCUCUGUUAUCGUACAGCUUAACCUAAUCAAGAAACAUCGCGUUUGUACAGCUUAUCGAAUAUGUAUAUCUGCGAUCAGUCUGCUGCAAGUCGGCUGAAUAAUUUCCACGACAUUUCGAUGAACGUUCCUCUUCGAGUCGUGCUAUUUAUUUCCAUGUUUCGUUCAUCGUUCGAUUGUGCUUUUAUAGGAAACUCGGCGGCGUCACGACCGUCCGUUCUGAUUAGUUACAUAAUCGAUCGAUAAAAAAAUCUUUCUGUUCUUUUUCGUUGAAAAAUAAUACGAUUAGCUGCAGUUUUAAUUUUUAUAAAAAUUCAUGUUGUUUUUUUCACCCUUCGAGGCGACCAUAAGCGGCAAGUUUGUUGCCGAACAAUCGCGUACAAAUUAAAAGAUUAAUAAAAUUGAGCACCGGGGAUUAAUUGUUCUAUGGUUGCUCGAUACUGGACGAGGGCUAAAAAAUUAUAAUUUGCAAUUGCAAAUAACAUUAAUGAUAUCAUCACGGAACGCUGAUAUUAAAAGAAAAAAUUCGCGUCGGACCAAAUUUCAUUCACGAUAGCCUUCGAGAGUCGAUGUGAUUUCUAAAUAAAUGUUUAUUAUAUAAUUUUAUCGAACGACAAAUUUAAAAUGACAAAGAAUCUGUAAGAAUUUAAAAAUAAGAGCUGAUUAUGCUUAAAAUACAAAUCGAAUGCCGAUAAAAGGUAUGUAACAGUAAUAAAAAAUGAUCUCGAAGCGAAGAUUCUUUCAUCAUCCAGUCGCGAAAAUUAUGCUACACGCUUUAUGCUUUAUCCAAUGUGCCUCUCUCUCUCUCUCUUUUUUGGUUUAAUGAAUUACCGUAAUAAUAUCGUCGUAAUACGAUUAUAAUAUCUACACGAUUAAGGCUUGCUCGUGUUUCAUCGCGGAUCGUUACGAUCGUUCAUUUACAAAUUCAGAGUUGGGUGAGAUUCGACGCGUAUACUUAAGAUUCUUCUCCUUACUUACAUUACGUUUUCGUUCGACUACGAUUUCGUGGACGUACGCUGGACGAAAGUUGUGAUUGCGUUUCACUGUUUCAUCAGGAACUAGUGAAUUUUGCAUCUAUGCGAGGAAAACGAAGAAUUAGUCGAAAAAUCGUCGAUCUUCGAUGAAUCUAUCUAUGUAUUUCGAAAUUUCGAAUAAUUAUCAAUGAUUACGAUACGACGACGACUAUCGUGAAAAAGGUGAUUAUCACGGGAAGAGUAUCCUGUUUUUCUCUUUUCUUUUUUUUUUUUUUUUUUUUUGAAAAGAUAACAGUUACGCGGAACGAUCUUAAAAAUGAUAAUUUUUCUUUUCGGGAUGAACACACAAUUAUUCUCUUUUUUAAUAAACGAUUAGAAACAACAGAUGUUAAGAAAUCGUUACGAUUAGUACAGUGUGAUAAUUUUAAUAUAAUAAGAAAAUCGUGUACAGGUGUAAAUCAUAGUCUUUAUUAUUAAACCUUCCACUUGAAUACUCGUACAAGCAAAUCGAUAUUCAUACCCCCUAAUCUUGCGUCUGUUUAAAAAAAAAAAAAAAAAAGAAAGACAAAGGAAAGACGAGAAGGAAAGAAAGAACGACGAUUGAUCAAUCUUUGAUGUCACUCCUCGCACAGAUACGCCAUUUUCUUCCCAUAAAAACUGUAAUAAUAUCGACGCGUUUCUGUUCACACAGACGUAAGAUCUACCCCUUCUCGCACAUUUAUCCUCGAUUUUCAAUCGACGCAUUCCGAAUAUUUCUUUUACGCUUAAAUUUUACGCUUAAUUACUUAAAAUUAUUCUACUUUCCAUUUUAUCCAAGACGAAGUUAUUUUGCGUUAAACGAAAUUCAGUGUGAUCUCAUUUUUAUAAAUAUCUUUACACCUCGAUGCUUUAUUCAAGGGGUGAGAAAUCGUCGAAUAUCCUCGACUCGAGCGUCUGAAUAUUCGAAACGGGAACGCGCGAACGAUUUUUCGAUGAACUCUCACCCAAUUCCGUUCCGACGUUGCAUUUCUAUCGCGUUUUCGGCUUGGUUUCUCGAUUCAGCCUUAUCUUUUUCCUUUCACUCACUCUCUCUUUCUCUCUCUCUCUCUCUCUCUCUCUUUCUAGAAAAUCUGAAAAAGCUUCAAAACUCGAUCUUCGUCCUUCGAUUAAUUUAAUCACCGCGUUUUUCUUUUUUGCAUGUUAUCAAUGAGAAAAGACGAUCAACGCUGUCUCACUCGCUUUAAAAACCCAAGAAACCGAGUAAUAGUCGUGUACACGCGUGUAUCUGUGUAUAGUGUUGUUUUAUUUCGUCCACGAUUCGGGAUUAUUCGAGGACGAUGAUGAAUCGACGGCGUAAGAUGGUUUUCCUUUUUCUCUUCUUUUACGACAGAAACUCGAGGGGUCGUGAGACGGUCUUCAGUAAAUCAAAGAACUAGGAGGUGAAUAUAAGAAACUCGGUUCGUAGUAAUUAAAUCGUUCUCUUCUUUACCCUUCCAGCGCUGUCAUUGUCUUUUCCACUCUUCCGAAGCUUUACAAUUUCUCUUUUCUAUAAUCUUCAAAUUUCGAUUCCCUUUAUUCCGUAUGCGAGCAACCCUUCCCUUGAAACGAAUCACGCUACUAUUUGACUACGGAGAAACCAUAUUGCUUAAUCGCACAAACACGUUUGACACCAAUUAUAACACGUUUAACGCUAGAGAAUCGAACGAGCAGGCGGAACGCAUAAAUUUAAGAUACAAAAUAAUCAUCGUGUCUAUCGAGCAAUGAAAAAAAAAAGAGAAAAAAAAAAAAGGAAAAAAGAGAAGAAGUGGAGAAUCUUUUAUCGAAUAUCAACGAAACAUGCUUGGUUUAUCUUUUACAAGUCAACCUUGGUGUCUGUACAAACUCGAACACUUGUGCCUCCGUACGAGCACCUGCUUCUCAUCCUUUCUUCUGACAUUUCAAUCUUUUAUUUCGUCAAAUAUCCCCAUUCUUUCUUUUCUUUUUCAUCCAUUUAUCGGCAAUUAAGCUGAUCGGUCAAUUAACGUAUAAUCUCGUCGAGUUUGUCAUCACUCUGACAAACCGCGACACAGAGGAGGAGGCUCGUGUCUCGUUUUUCAACCCUUGAAUAAUAACCAUGUAUCGUGGUGUGUCAGGCAAAUGCAUUUUAUUUUCUCUUCUCUUUCAAAUAUAAAAAAAUCAUUGUAUAUCAUAUAUAUAAUAUAUAUAAGUAUGUAUAUGUAAUAUGCGUAUGUGUAUUGUAUAAUCAUAUCGGAGUACAGAGUCGCGCAAAAUCGUACAAAAUUUGUCCACGUGGCGUUGGCGGGUGAUUAUGGUUAUUAUUCACGUUCGAUAGAAAAAAGGAUCGCGAUCGAUGGAGAAAGGGGCGGGAGAAACGAAAAGGAAACGAAGAAAAAAAAAAAAGAAAAA
Bombus huntii is the source of this 11829-nucleotide long non-coding RNA. RefSeq lists it as uncharacterized. The transcript has 2 exons. NCBI's taxonomy places the organism in Eukaryota, Metazoa, Arthropoda, Insecta, Hymenoptera, Apidae. The record is from RefSeq and is a predicted model, not a curated record.